GGUGAACGUAAGAGGGACCACCCUCGAGGUUCACACUUGAGGUGUUGAAUGACAGCCGUAUCGGGAAUGGUGAAAGAGGAAAUCACCCUCGAUGACCACGACCGAAUAGCUACACUACAGAAUUACCAUCAGGAGUGCGUUAUGAGGGAUCACCCUCGACACUCGAUAGUAGCUCUGCAGAGUCAAGCAACUAAAGGGGCGUGAUGUGAGGUGAGGUGUCGGGCUUUGGUCGUCGAUCAUGUCGAUCGAGGCAUCGAUGAUGAAGCAGGGGCAACAAGGAGAAGUGAGGGUCACUGAUGGAUCACUAGCCAACCUAUACUAAGCAGUUUAGGAGCAGGUAGGUAACAAUAAGCAGGUACAAAAGCAGGCUAUGCAUCAGAAUAGGAGCAAUCAAAUACAGUAGCAAAAUCUAAUGCAAGCAUGAGAGUAUAGAAUGGGCGAUAUCGGGAUGAUCAAAGGGGGGGCUUGCCUGGUUGCUCAGGCGAGAAGGAGGGGUCGUCGUCGACGUAGUCGAUCACAGGGGCAUCAGCUGCGGCCUCGGGGUCUACCGGGAAGAAGAGGGGGGAAGAAACAGUAAAUACAGAGCAAGCAAGAGCAUAACAGGACAACAGGCAGAGCUAGACGUGUUCUAACGCGGUGCUACACGAUACCGGCAAAGGGGAAUAACAUCCGGGAAAGUUUUCCCGAAGUUAGGCAUUUUCGGACAGAUGAAACGGCGGGGAAAAGUUGCAUGUUCAGGUAGUUAGGGGCACGUGGCAAACGAACAGAUCGCGUAUUUGGAUUUGUCUCGUUGUUCUGAGCAACUUUCAUGUAGAAAACUUUUUCAUCCGCGUUACAGAUUAAUUUAUAUGAUUUUCCAAAGAUUUAAACAAUAUUCUAAAAUUAUUAUUAAUUCGGGAUAAAAGGUGAAAUUGCUAUGUGCACCCGGCAGAGUGUACACAGCAGGGCCACUAGAGGCUAACAGAGGGUCCAGGGGGUCCCAGUUGACUCAGUCAACAGUGCAGUCAACAGUCAACAGUUUGACUGUUGACUGGUCAAAAUUGUAGAUGGGGCCUAGGUGUCAUUCACACAUAUCUUGCAUUUUCUUUUUAAGUGGAUAUUUAUAGGGGGGUCCACCUGUCAUUUGCACUAUACCUAACCACUUAUUAGACUAACAAGUAGGAGUACUAAUUAGCUAACGGAGAGUCGGCCGGCCACCACACACACAGAAUACACACACGCACACACAGUUCUGUUUUCUGCUAACAAAAGAUAGCAUUUUGUGAUUUUUCAUAGGAUUUAUUCCAUGCAUCAAAUGGAUUUGGUCCAGUGGACACAUUUAAGCAUUAUCAAGUGUACUUUCUACUAAUAUUAUUUUUAGCCUUGUUAACAGUUGUUUAACCAAAGUUUAGGGGCUAUUUAGGGGGUUACUCAGUGUAAAAACUAAAAAGCUAGCUAAUAGCUAUAGUUGCUAUCAUCAGUUAGCAUCAGUAGCAGUAGACGAGUAGCAAGCGGCAGCAGCAGUGGGCAACCAGAAGCGGUAGGCGCUGGUAGCAGCAGGCACGCACGCCGGCGCGUGCGCACGCGCAAGGCACGACCAGCGCGGGAAGCAGCGAGUAGCGCCGGGCGUGCAAGGAAGCGCGCGUGCCCGUAAUUGGAGGCGCGGGCGGACGAGCAAGGCUGUGGCCCGGGCGUAGUAGGGGAUCCCGGCGAGCGCGUACAGGGAAGGAACGGGCGCGCGGAGGUUCGGGCGAGUCGGUCGCAGCAUCCUACGGCGUCAAAUCGAAGAGGAGAAGGGGAGUUUGGACGUGGUGCUCACCUAGGAGCACACGGCGGCUCGGUGGGAGGUUUAGGAGCAGCAGGCGGUCAAAGUGGAGGAAGCCUGCCGUCGUAGUAGAGGAGGCAGACGGCGCGGUGGCGUUCCAAGGUGGUCGAAGGGGUCGGGGCGGUGCUGCGGGGCCGUCCCGGUCCGAUCUCGUCUACGAGGAGGAGGAAGGCGUCCGCGAUGGAGCUGUCGGACAGCUUAGAACGGAGAGGGGAGGCUGGUGGCUGCGUCCAUGGCGACGGCGAGCCCUCGGGACGGCGUCGGGGCGAGGUGGCGUCGGCGUCGAGGCGCCGCGGAUGGAGCGGAUCUGGCGAGAGGGGGGAGGAGGAACCGAGGCGGAGAGGGGGAAGUGGAGCGGGGAGACGAGGGGAAGGCGGCCUUAUCCCCUCCCCGUCGGCGUCGGCGAGACGGUCGGGGGCAACCAUGCCCCUGUUGCGACCGCGCCAGGGGAACAGGAAGGGAGGGCGACCGUGGGGGUUUGGUGGGUUUCUGGGCCUGUCCAGUGGCCAAGGCCCAGGGGAAUUAGUGGGGCUCUUUUCUUUCUCAUUUACUUUUACCCUUUUUGUUGUUUUGUUUUGAUUUUUAAUCAUUAGAGUUUUAUAAAACAUAGAAUUUUUCCUAAAUUAGUAUUUCUAUUUAUACCACUGCCACAACAGUUUUGAGGUUUAAAUAAAAUAGUUUAGCAUUUUUAUAAAUUUUAAAAGCAUUUAACUUAUUAUUUUAGCCAAUGAUUAUUUAGUUCAGUGCAAUUAAUCACUUUAUAAAAAUGUUGGGUCACCACUAUAAUUAGCUAUGGAAUAUUUUCCACACUUUGAACAUUUAUUUUGCGUGUUUGAGAAAUUUGAAUCUUGGACUUUUAUUUUAAAUUUGAAUUUGGAUUGUGACUUGGAUCAACCGAGGAUUAGCAACGGUAAUGUGAUGACAUGGCACCAUUAACAAGGGUUUACUGUAGCUUAAUUAUCCGGGCGUUACAAAUCUCCUCCACUACAAGAAAUCCCGUCCCGAGAUUUUAGGCGAUACAAGGAAACAAAGCGGGGUAUUCAUUAGGAUUACGAUCCUCGUGUUCCCUAGUGGCUUCAUCUUCAGAAUGAUUUGACCACUGAACUUUCAGAUAUUUGAUAGCCCUCUGACGGUUGCGACGUUCAGCUUGAACGAGAACGCGGAUCGGAUGCUCUCUGUAAGCGAGAUCAUCUUGUAGGGGUUAAGCUUUAUAGGCCAUGUGGUUGUUGCAAUAAGACUUGCGACCCAAGGCAUCGGCCAUGUCACUAGCCUUGCCAAGGGUAUAAGAAAUACUGUAGUCAUAGUCUGAAAUUGUUUUCUAUACAUCGUUGCUGAUGGAGAUCCAGAUCUAGCUGAGUAAACAAUUACUUCAGACUUUGAUGAUUGGUAAAGAUCUCGCAAUGAUUACCAAGAAGGAAAUGUUGCCACAACUUCAGUGCAAACUUAACUGCAACAAGUUCAAGGUCAUGGACUAGGUAGUUCUGCUGAAAAGACACCUUGGAAUUCACAAACGACUGUAGCGUUUUCAAUUCUCACAAGAGGAGAAGCGUUUACGCGUUCAAGGAAUUACUCUGUGCUUCGGCAUUACCAACAAGAUGAGCAUGGUAGCUUACAAUCUCAUUUGAUGGGUGUAGUAGAUGGACAGUCUUAGUGGCGCACAAGAUAAAAGCGGUAUGUGUUUUCAACCACUCUAUCCCCAGAAUGAGGUCGAUAUUGGACGACUUCAAAACAAUGGGGGAAACAUGAAAUUCCAACCCUUCAAAUUCAACUGGGACGUUGUGACUAACCAUGGUGGUUCGACAUUGGCCCAUGGAAUGCAGCUUGGAAUUUCGGCCAAGUGAUGACGAUUCAAACAGGUAAGGAACAAUUGUGGCUGUCCUACCAUUGAGCAUCAGAACCUUUCGGGUAAUAAGCCGUGAAGGUGACAUAGUUGGUUGGGGCUACAUCAACAGACUCUAGCUCGAAAGUGAUGUCACGUAGCCAGUCGUCAACAUCAAGUGGCUGAGUUGAGCUGCGGUAGAUCCUUGGGUUGAGAUGUGCAAAGUCGUUCAGUGUCACAAUUGCUGGCUGCGGGUUCAAGUUGGGGCAAGGAAACUGAGCUAUCACUCCUUUCAUGAACUGGCGGUUCAGCUCAAACUGUUGGAUCAUACCAGCCAUGUAUUCAGAAGGUGGUGGGGCGUUGCCACCACGACCACGACCAGCGGGUCUAACCAUCCUGCUUAAAUGCAACAGGGGGUAGUUUAGCAAAGGGAUGGAGCUAGUGUAUGGAGUCAUUCAUGAGGUAAACUGAACAGUGAGCAAGGGCACAGUAUGCACAAGGCAAUAGUCAUUGAGGACAUACCGAUACAUAUAUAGAGCUAGUUACACACUGUUCAAGUGAGUUCGGACAAGAGAAACAUCCCGGACAUACUAGGCGGCACGCGAUGGAGGGAUACAACAACGGGACAUAGCAAAGGCUACAUAAGCGUCGGAGAAAAAUCACUAGAGCGAGAGAAUUGCAAAUCAUGACGCAAGGUGCCCUCGAUAAGAGGAUCCUGCGGUUAGUGAAUAUUGUGAAGCAGAACUUGGCUCCCAAUUCAAGAAAGGUAUGAUACAAAUCUCUGGAUGGAUGUGAUCACGAAAACCUAGGGUAGAGUUAGCAAAACCAUUUAACCCGAAUAGAAGAGAGAUUAGAGUCCCAGAGUAAAGGUCGAGGAGUAAAAGAUCCUAAUAUCACCCAAUGACGACUUGGGCCCGUAAGCCACACAGCCAUGUUAGUAAAACAGUUCUUUUAAAGACUAGACUCAACUUCGGCCAAGGAGUUGGAAAGGGGGAUCCUACAGGCAGUCGGCUCUGAUACCAACUUGUGACGCUCCGAUUCAAUCGUACACUAUUCAUACACGUAAACGUGUACGAUCAAGAUCAGGGACUCAGGGGAAGAUAUCACAACACAACUCUAGACACAAAUAAAAUAAUACAAGCUUUAUAUUACAAGCCAGGGGCCUCGAGGGCUCGAAUACAAAAAGCUGGAUAGACAAGAGUCAGCGGAAGCAACAAUAUCUGAGUACAGACAUAAGUUAAACAGGGAUGCCUUAAGAAGGCUAGCACAAAAGCAACACGAUCAAAGAGGCAAGGCCUCCUGCCUGGGACCUCCUAACUACUCCUGGUCUUCGGCGGCCUCCAUGUAGUAGUAUCCAUCGGCGGUGGCAUCUGGCUCCAAGGAUCCACCAUCUGGUUGCAUCAACCGGAAAGAAGAAGGAAGGGGGAAAAGGAGGAGCAAAGCAACCGUGGGUACUCAUCCAAAGUACUCGCAAGCAUCAGAUCUAUACUAAGUGUGUAUUUGCAUCAAAUGGAAGGGUUGUAUCGAUGGACUGAACUGCAGAAUGCAAGAACAGAGGGGGAAAGCCUAGCCUAUCAAAGACUAGCAUCUUCACACAGCUCCGAGCAUCUUGCAGCAUGUAGAAGAGUAAAGAAUAGCAGUUUAUAAUUAACAAGCAUGUUGUAGCAUUAACGCCCAGAGAUCCUUCCUCGACUCCCUGCGAGAAAGCAAUCCCGGAGCCACAUAUCCAUCACAUAUCAAGUAUCCAUUUCUAGUUGUAUAAGAUCAGGAUACAAGUCUGAACGUCCAUUACCGUGGACACGGUAUUCGAAUAUAUGUCUUCCCUGCAGGGGUGCACCACAUUACCCAACACGCCCGAUCACUCUGGCCGGACACACCUUUCUAGGGUCAAUGCCCGCCCUCGGAAAAUCAACACGUCGCGGCCCUACCUAGGCUCAGCAGAGAGGUCCCCGCCGGUCUACAUCCUAAGCACUCCGGGGUCUUGGGCCCAUCGCCCGCAGCACUCCGGGUCGUUGUGUGCAGGGUGGAUACCAGCACCGCCUCGGAUGGCCAGCACGAUCCAACCGUGCCACAAUGCUGAACUGGACGCCUGACAAAGCUUCGGCUGAUACUGCGACUUCGAGGCCCAUAACUAUUCUCGCGUGGUGGUUAGUGCGUAAAGGCCAAAGGCCAACUCAAAACAAAUACCCAAACAUGUUAGUACAUUAUUAAAAGGAGUGACGGCUGUCGGGACAAGUCCGGAGCUAUCACCCCUUCCCGGGUGAUACCGCUAAACAGCCAGCCGCCACUGUCACAUCGCACGGGUGCUCUCCGGGCCCUCCCGGCUAUCACAACGGUCUCCAGUAAAGUCAAGAUAACUGUGUGUCCAGACAUCAAGGGGAAAACCCGAGGAAUCACCCCCGAAGGAUUCCACUCAAUGUAAUCAUCAAGGUGAACGUAAGAGGGACCACCCUCGAGGUUCACACUUGAGGUGUUAAAGGACAGAGCCGUAUCGGGAAUGGUGAAAGAGGAAAUCACCCUCGAUGACCACGAUCGAAUAGCUACACUACAGAAUUAUCAUCAGGAGUGCGUUAUGAGGGAUCACCCUCGACACUCGAUAGUAGCUCUGCAGAGUCGAGCAACUAAAGGGGCGUGAUGUGAGGUGAGGUGUCAGGCUCUGGUCGUCGAUCAUGUCGAUCGAGGCGUGGAUGAUGAAGCAAGGGCAACAAGGAGAAGUAGGGGUCACUGAUGGAACACUAGCCAACCUAUACUAAGCAGUUUAGGAUAAGCAGGUAGGUAACAAUAAGCAGGUACAAAAGCAAGCUAUGCAUCAGAAUAGGAGCAAUCAAAUACAGUAGCAAAAUCUAAUGCAAGCAUGAGAGUAUAGAAUGGACGAUAUCGGGAUGAUCAAAGGGGGGGGGGGCUGCCUGGUUGCUCAGGCGAGAAGGAGGGGUCGUCGUCGACGUAGUCGAUCACAGGGGCAUCAGCUGCGGCCUCGGGGU
RNAcentral lists this long non-coding RNA (6604 nucleotides) under Triticum aestivum (bread wheat). RNAcentral's name for it is "long non-coding RNA (TAES_LNC016133)". The record is from RNAcentral. Lineage: Eukaryota; Viridiplantae; Streptophyta; Magnoliopsida; Poales; Poaceae.